GGUCGCUUAGCUCAGUUGGUUAGAGCGUGGUGCUAAUAAGCUCUCUUGAUAACGCCAAGGUCGCAGGUUCGACCCCUGCAGUGAUCA
RNAcentral lists this transfer RNA (87 nucleotides) under Pyronema domesticum. RNAcentral describes it as "tRNA-Ile". It matches the Rfam family "tRNA". Rfam says of the family: Transfer RNA (tRNA) molecules are approximately 80 nucleotides in length. Their secondary structure includes four short double-helical elements and three loops (D, anti-codon, and T loops). Further hydrogen bonds mediate the characteristic L-shaped molecular structure. tRNAs have two regions of fundamental functional importance: the anti-codon, which is responsible for specific mRNA codon recognition, and the 3' end, to which the tRNAs corresponding amino acid is attached (by aminoacyl-tRNA synthetases). tRNAs cope with the degeneracy of the genetic code in two manners: having more than one tRNA (with a specific anti-codon) for a particular amino acid; and 'wobble' base-pairing, i.e. permitting non-standard base-pairing at the 3rd anti-codon position. Lineage: Eukaryota; Fungi; Ascomycota; Pezizomycetes; Pezizales; Pyronemataceae. The record is from RNAcentral.